AGUGAACGCUGGCGGUAGGCCUAACACAUGCAAGUCGAACGGCAGCACAGUAAGAGCUUGCUCUUACGGGUGGCGAGUGGCGGACGGGUGAGGAAUACAUCGGAAUCUACUUUUUCGUGGGGGAUAACGUAGGGAAACUUACUCUAAUACCGCAUACGACCUACUUGUGAAAGCAGGGGAUCUUCGGACCUUGCGCGAAUGAAUGAGCCGAUGUCGGAUUAGCUAGUUGGCGGGGUAAAGGCGCACCAAGGCGACGAUCCGUAGAUGGUCUGAGAGGAUGAUCAGCCACACUGGAACUGAGACACGGUCCAGACUCCUACGGGAGGCAGCAGUGGGGAAUAUUGGACAAUGGGCGCAAGCCUGAUCCAGCCAUACCGCGUGGGUGAAGAAGGCCUUCGGGUUGUAAAGCCCUUUUGUUGGGAAAGAAAAGCAGCAGGUUAAUACCCCGCUGUUAUGACGGUACCCAAAGAAUAAGCACCGGCUAACUUCGUG
RNAcentral lists this ribosomal RNA (492 nucleotides) under uncultured bacterium. RNAcentral's name for it is "partial 16S ribosomal RNA". It matches the Rfam family "Bacterial small subunit ribosomal RNA", at positions 29 to 507 of the family's 1533-position model. The record is from RNAcentral.